UCUUCUUUGUUGUCUGUAGUGGACUCGACAUGUCACAGCCUGACGGGCAUGUACAGACAGGUGAACGACUGCCACGUGUAUAUCCGCAAAGGAGAAAGGUGGGCCAUAUCGGCAAAGGGAGCGACUCGCGUCCGUUCACGCCGACCCAUUAGUCAAUUUGCAUGGGGGCCGAACGCUUUUUAUACUUUGGUCGCCGAGACAACAACAAAAAUAAAUUGUGUGGACAUUUUUAACUUUCUAAAGUUCCAAAAACGAAUCGAAGUAACAAUCAGUAAAUCAAUGAAUUGUUUCCAAAUCGAAAUUUUUCUGGUCCUCAUUUGCAUACCUGUUUUUUUUUGUGUGUGUGUGUGUUUUGGAUCUCGUUGUACAGGACAUUGGACCGGUGAAUAAAUUAAAUUUAAAAAAAUUAAAUCAACGUUUCACAUCGGUUAGAUCGUCCAAUUGAUGCUAGGUAAAAGCCCUCAGGCUAUAAAGAUGCUUGAAUACCUUUUAGAUGUAUUUCUGUUUUCAUUUCCUUUUGAUUGCAAAAAAUAGUCAUACACAACAGACGAUGUUGAGAGGCAAAAUAUUUCAAUCUGAGCGGGGGACAUCCGACAUGUUGUCUAAAACAAUUUCAAUCGUUUAUAGAAGAAAAAAAAAUGAAUCAUCUGCAAAAGAAUGAAGGAAUUCAAA
This 672-nucleotide long non-coding RNA is filed under the name Daphnia magna. Its description in RNAcentral is "uncharacterized LOC123477082, transcript variant X2". Lineage: Eukaryota; Metazoa; Arthropoda; Branchiopoda; Diplostraca; Daphniidae. The record is from RNAcentral.